ACGGGAGGCAGCAGUGGGGAAUAUUGCACAAUGGGGGAAACCCUGAUGCAGCGACGCCGCGUGAGCGAAGAAGUAUUUCGGUACGUAAAGCUCUAUCAGCAAGGAAGAAAAUGACGGUACUUGACUAAGAAGCCCCGGCUAACUACGUGCCAGCAGCCGCGGUAAUACGUAGGGGGCAAGCGUUAUCCGGAUUUACUGGGUGUAAAGGGAGCGUAGACGGUAAGGCAAGUCUGAAGUGAAAUGCAUGGGCUCAACCCAUGAACUGCUUUGGAAACUGUCAAACUAGAGUGCAGGAGAGGUAAGUGGAAUUCCUAGUGUAGCGGUGAAAUGCGUAGAUAUUAGGAGGAACACCAGUGGCGAAGGCGGCUUACUGGACUGUAACUGACGUUGAGGCUCGAAAGCGUGGGGAGCAAACAGGAUUAGAUACCCUGGUA
RNAcentral lists this ribosomal RNA (434 nucleotides) under uncultured Lachnospiraceae bacterium. RNAcentral describes it as "partial 16S ribosomal RNA". It matches the Rfam family "Bacterial small subunit ribosomal RNA", at positions 341 to 792 of the family's 1533-position model. Lineage: Bacteria; Bacillati; Bacillota; Clostridia; Lachnospirales; Lachnospiraceae. The record is from RNAcentral.